AACAGGGAUUGCCCUAGUAACGGCGAGUGAAGCGGCAACAGCUCAAAUUUGAAAUCUGGCUCUUUCAGAGUCCGAGUUGUAAUUUGCAGAGGGCGCUUUGGCUUUGGCAGCGGUCCAAGUUCCUUGGAACAGGACGUCACAGAGGGUGAGAAUCCCGUACGUGGUCGCUAGCUAUUGCCGUGUAAAGCCCCUUCGACGAGUCGAGUUGUUUGGGAAUGCAGCUCUAAAUGGGAGGUAAAUUUCUUCUAAAGCUAAAUAUUGGCCAGAGACCGAUAGCGCACAAGUAGAGUGAUCGAAAGAUGAAAAGCACUUUGGAAAGAGAGUCAAACAGCACGUGAAAUUGUUGAAAGGGAAGCGCUUGCAGCCAGACUUGCUUGCAGUUGCUCAUCCGGGCUUUUGCCCGGUGCACUCUUCUGUAGGCAGGCCAGCAUCAGUUUGGGCGGUGGGAUAAAGGUCUCUGUCACGUACCUCUCUUCGGGGAGGCCUUAUAGGGGAGACGACAUACCACCAGCCUAGACUGAGGUCCGCGCAUCUGCUAGGAUGCUGGCGUAAUGGCUGUAAGCGGCCCGUCUUGAAACACGGACCAAGGAGUCUAACAUCUAUGCGAGUGUUUGGGUGUCAAGCCCGAGCGCGUAAUGAAAGUGAACGGAGGUGGGAACCCGCAAGGGUGCACCAUCGACCGAUCCUGAAGUUUACGGAAGGAUUUGAGUAAGAGCAUGGCUGUUGGGACCCGAAAGAUGGUGAACUAUGCUUGAAUAGGGUGAAGCCAGAGGAAACUCUGGUGGAGUCUCGCAGCGGUUCUGACGUGCAAAUCGAUCGUCAAAUUUGGGCAUAGGGGCGAAAGACUAAUCGAACU
This 856-nucleotide ribosomal RNA is filed under the name Bipolaris microlaenae. RNAcentral describes it as "LSU rRNA". It matches the Rfam family "Eukaryotic large subunit ribosomal RNA", at positions 67 to 941 of the family's 3401-position model. Lineage: Eukaryota; Fungi; Ascomycota; Dothideomycetes; Pleosporales; Pleosporaceae. The record is from RNAcentral.